CUUCACUCUCACUGCGGAGGAGCGCGGUUGAGCUCAGGCAGCAGCGAGACAUAUGCAGACCAAACCCACCUAGUGACAAUAAGAUCCGGUCCCUGUGGGUGACGUGGCGGUGCCAGCUACAGAGCCUUACUGGGACUAGCAGCCAGGUCAGAACGGCCACCAGAGGUGGGACCUCAUGGUCCACUGCCUCCUUCAGGAUAUGGAAAUGGUCUUGGACUAAGUUAUUAAUUUUGAUAAACUCUUAGAGAUUAUGCAGAGAGCUGACAAAUAUCUGGCCAUUUUUCUAAAUCGAUUAUGAGAGACUCGCUUUGACCCAGCCACCCAUAGGUCCUGGCCACCCAUUUCAUUUCUCAGUCAGCUCCAGAUAUUAGAAAGAAAUUUAAAAGGCCAGAGGAGGGUCCCAAAACCCCCAGACAGGAAUUGGUGAAAGCGGCCUUUAAGGUUUUUAAUGCCUGAGAGGAAGCAGCAGAAUCUUCCCAACAGGCUCAACUACAACGGAAGGCUACCUUCAAGCCCACUCCUUGGCGGCUGUCCUGCGGCCACUGGCGCCCCCACAAGGAAGACAAGGGAAGUUGUCCAUGAGGCUCCAUCAAUCAGAGCUCAGCCCAAGUCAACCACACCAGGAUCCUGUUACAAAUGCAGCCAGGAAGGCCAUUGGUCACAGUAUUGCCCUGAGCCUCAGCCACCAGUGAGGCCAUGCCCCAUCUGCCAACGACCUGGACACUGGAAAUCGGAAUGCCCUCCCAGGGGUUCAUCCUCCAUGCCACUCCACAGAGGUCCAGCCUCACCCACAGCAGCAUCUGAGACUCUUCCAGCCUUCAAACUCCUCAACCUGAUGGAGGGCUGAUGCAGCCCAGACUUUGCCCUCUCUGAGCCUCGGGUAAUGCUCCAGGAACCAGCCCUUCUGGGACCCUCACAUCACUUCCCAUCCACAAACUUUGUGAAGUGUCGUCUGCAAAUCAUUGCAUGGCCCCACGGUGGCAGUGCCGGCCUGUGUUUCUAAACGAGAUCGCGGAGACGGCCUUUUUUGCGGUGUCAGCCAGACCAGCGCUGAUGCCAUUAAGUUGCCCAGGCUCACUUGAACUUAUUCCGUAAACCUGGACGGCCUUGAACGGUUUGAAUCUCUAUCAGUUUUCUGCAGUGAAC
This is a long non-coding RNA of Onychomys torridus (southern grasshopper mouse), 1146 nucleotides long. RefSeq lists it as uncharacterized. The record is from RefSeq and is a predicted model, not a curated record. The transcript is spliced from 4 exons. NCBI's taxonomy places the organism in Eukaryota, Metazoa, Chordata, Mammalia, Rodentia, Cricetidae.